RNAcentral lists this transfer RNA (77 nucleotides) under Parabacteroides distasonis. Its description in RNAcentral is "tRNA-Ile". It matches the Rfam family "tRNA". From Rfam's summary of the family: Transfer RNA (tRNA) molecules are approximately 80 nucleotides in length. Lineage: Bacteria; Pseudomonadati; Bacteroidota; Bacteroidia; Bacteroidales; Tannerellaceae. The record is from RNAcentral.
AGGCUGGUAGCUCAGGUGGUUAGAGCGCACCCCUGAUAAGGGUGAGGUCGGUGGUUCAAGUCCACUCAGGCCUACCA